Molecule: unclassified non-coding RNA, 156 nt
Filed under: uncultured Cephalotheca
Lineage: Eukaryota; Fungi; Ascomycota; Sordariomycetes; Cephalothecales; Cephalothecaceae
Description: sequence contains ITS2
Source: RNAcentral
ACAACCCUCAGGCCCUAGUGCCUGGUGUUGGGGCACUACAGCAUGCUGUAGGCCCUGAAAUCUAGUGGCGGGACCGCUGUAAACCCGGGCGUAGUAACUUUACGUCGUCCAGGGUGUUCCGGCGCGCCCCAGCCGUUAAACCCACCAUAUUAUCAA